RNAcentral lists this transfer RNA (73 nucleotides) under Camelus ferus (Wild Bactrian camel). It matches the Rfam family "tRNA". Rfam says of the family: Transfer RNA (tRNA) molecules are approximately 80 nucleotides in length. Their secondary structure includes four short double-helical elements and three loops (D, anti-codon, and T loops). Further hydrogen bonds mediate the characteristic L-shaped molecular structure. tRNAs have two regions of fundamental functional importance: the anti-codon, which is responsible for specific mRNA codon recognition, and the 3' end, to which the tRNAs corresponding amino acid is attached (by aminoacyl-tRNA synthetases). tRNAs cope with the degeneracy of the genetic code in two manners: having more than one tRNA (with a specific anti-codon) for a particular amino acid; and 'wobble' base-pairing, i.e. permitting non-standard base-pairing at the 3rd anti-codon position. The record is from Rfam by way of RNAcentral. Lineage: Eukaryota; Metazoa; Chordata; Mammalia; Artiodactyla; Camelidae.
GUGGGUAUAGUUCAGUUGGUAGAGUGUGUGGUUAGCAUGCAUGAGGUCCUGGGUUCAAUCCCCAGUGCCUCCA